UGGCGGGGAUUGGGAUCCUAGAAUUUUCCACGUCUUCCUCCUCUCAAUCUGCACCGUUUAUUGUUUAAACCCGUCAACUCAUCAAUCUUUCAAAUGCAAAUGAUAGUAACAGUUGAAGAAGAUAACUACUCCUGGUGGAGGAUGGCCAGAACACGAAGCAAAAAGAGGAGAAAGAAGAAAUCCAACAGAACACAGCAGUUGGUUUCGUCUCAUCACUUCGCUGUAAAGUGAUCAUCCCGCGUUGACCCAGCAUUUCAAUCCCUUCCACAACGUGACUCGAGCGGUUCAGCUCCACUUUCAUGCUCCUCAUCUAUCAAUGGUUAUGUCUCUGUCACUCUCUGUCUCUCUCCCAUAUCCCUGCGAUUCCUAUUGAUUGCUUCCGUGGGUUUGCCUGUUUUUCUGUGGACGUGAAAUUUGGUUAAGUCUCAACGAGAUUUGGUUCCAUUCCCAUUACGGUAUUUUCUGCUUUCUUCUUCAUCUUCCGCUUUGUCUUAAACCUUGAACUUUCUCAUGUUCACACUUCUGCUUCUGUAAAAGAUUUCUGCACUGCUAUUCUUCCAUUUUAUAUAUGCUUUCCGAUCAUAAAGUUGCGGAAUUGCUUUAACAACUUGACUUUUGCGGGCGAAAUGGCAAUAUGUCCGGCUUGCAACCUCAAAAAACGGUUUUGCUUGAUGCUAAUAUUUUGUUUUGGCAUCUUCCUUGUAAGUUCGAUUAAUGAAGAUGGUUCAAAUCUUUUGCGGUUCAAAGCUUCUCUUGCUGACACCCAAAAUUAUCUUCACAACUGGAAUUCUUCUGAUUUUACUCCUUGCAAUUGGAAAGGUGUGCAUUGUGAUGAUUCAAUGGUAACUUCCGUAAAUCUUCAUCAGCUCAAUCUGUCUGGUGCUUUAUCUCCCACCAUCUGUAACCUUCCACGGCUAGUUGAGUUGAAUCUGUCGAAAAAUUUCAUUUCUGGUCCUAUUCCUGUGGAUUUUGUUGACUGUCGUAGUUUGGAGAUAUUAGACCUUUGCACAAAUAGGUUCCAUGGGGAACUUCUGAUUCCUUUCAGCGAAAUCACCACACUAAGAAAGCUUUAUGUCUGUGAAAAUUUCAUGCAUGGUGAAGUGCCUGAAGAGAUUGGGAAUUUAACUUCACUUGAAGAGCUAGUUAUUUAUAGCAACAACUUAACUGGGAGAAUUCCCACAUCAAUCAGUAAGUUGAAGCAGCUUAAAAUCAUCAGGGCAGGUGUUAACAGCAUCUCAGGUCCAAUACCUGCGGAAAUAAGCCAGUGUGAGAGCUUGCAGAUAUUAGGAUUCUCACAGAAUCAGCUAGAAGGGUCCAUUCCAAGGGAGCUUCAAAAGCUUCAGAACCUUGCUGAGUUAAAUCUAUGGCAAAACUUUUUAUCUGGUGAGAUCCCUCCUGAGAUUGGAAAUCUUAGUAGCUUGCAAUCGCUUGCUUUGCAUCAUAAUUCAUUUGGUGGAGCUCUCCCCAAGGAGCUUGGAAAGUUAUCAAAUUUACAAAGGUUGUACAUAUACACUAACCGCUUGAAUGGCUCAAUUCCGGUGGAGCUAGGGAACUGCACAAAUGCAAUUGAGAUAGAUCUGUCUGAAAAUCGUUUAAGUGGAAAUAUUCCCAAAGAGUUGGGUCAGAUCUCUGGUCUUACAUUGCUUCAUCUAUUUGAAAACCUCCUGCAGGGAGACAUACCUCAAGAGCUUGGGAAUUUAAAGCUCUUAAAGAAUUUAGACCUCUCCAUAAAUAACUUAUCAGGUACAAUACCACUAGUGUUUCAAAAUCUUACAUACAUGGUGGAUUUGCAGUUGUUUGAUAAUCACCUUCAGGGUAAAAUUCCUCCUUAUCUUGGAUCUAAUAGCAACCUUACAGUUCUUGAUAUAUCCAUGAAUUAUCUUAUUGGUAUGAUACCUCCGCAUCUUUGCCGCAAUCAGAAAUUGCAGUUCCUCAGUCUUGGGUCAAAUAAAUUGCUUGGCAAUAUUCCUCAUGACCUGAAAAUGUGCAAGCCUCUUGUGCAGCUAAUGCUGGGAGACAACCAACUGACAGGAAGCUUCCCUCUUGAAUUAUAUGAACUUCAUAAUCUUUCUGCCCUCGAACUUCAGCAGAACCGGUUCUCAGGACUAAUAGACCAUGGGAUAGGUCGACUCAAGAAUUUAAAGAGGCUGCUCUUAUCAGAUAACUAUUUUUUAGGCUAUCUUCCUCCUGAGAUUGGGAAUUUAACACAGCUUGUCUCAUUCAACAUUUCCUCUAAUUUUCUCAGUGGAAGUAUACCUCAUGAGUUGGGAAACUGCAUAAAACUCCAGAGGCUUGAUCUGAGUAGAAACGGGUUCACUGGUGAUCUUCCAGAUGAUAUUGGCAAGCUGGUGAAUCUGGAGCUGUUGAAACUUUCAGAUAAUAGACUCUCUGGAACAAUACCGAGUGCUUUAGGGGACCUUUCACGUCUUACAGAUUUGGAACUCGGCGGUAACUUGUUUUUUGGGAGCAUUCCUUUUCAUUUAGGACAAUUAGCUGCUCUUCAGAUUGCUCUUAACCUGAGUUAUAACAAACUUUCUGGUACAAUUCCUGACAGCCUUGGGAGCUUGCAAAUGUUGGAAAGUCUUUAUUUAAAUGACAAUCAGCUUGUUGGUGAAAUUCCUACAUCAAUUGGUGACCUUCCCAGCCUCUUACUAUGCAAUGUUUCCAACAAUAAACUGGUAGGGGUCAUUCCAGACACGCCGGCAUUUCGUAAGAUGAAUUUUACAAAUUUUGCUGGAAACAAUGGGUUGUGUCGAGUAGGUUCAUAUUAUUGUCAUCCAUCUCAUACUCCAAGCUGGUCCAGAGAUGGUUCAUCAAAGCAAAAGAUAGUGAGCAUUGUUUCUGCAGUGGUGGGAUUUGUUUCUCUCAUUUUCAUAGUCUUUAUAUGUUGGGCCAUGAAACGCCGUGGCUCUUCUUUUGUCUCAAUUGAGGGGCAAUCAAAACCUCAUGUCCUAGAUAACUAUUACUUCCCUAAAGAAGGUUUCACAUACCAGGAUCUCUUGGAAGCUACUAGCAAUUUUUCUGAAGCUUUGGUUAUAGGAAGAGGAGCUUGUGGAACUGUCUACAAGGCUGUUCUGACCGAUGGUGAGGUGAUAGCUGUCAAAAAGUUGAAUUCUCGUGGAGAAGGAGCAAAUGUAGACAGAAGUUUCCUUGCAGAAAUUUCGACUCUGGGAAAGAUCAGGCACAGAAAUAUUGUGAAGCUGUUUGGAUUCUGUUGUCAUGAGGAUUCUAAUAUUCUCUUGUAUGAAUACAUGGAAAAUGGUAGCCUUGGUGAACAACUUCAUUCAGAUCCAAACACAUGUAUAUUGGGUUGGAGCAGUCGCUACAAAAUUGCUCUUGGAGCAGCAGAAGGCUUGUGCUAUCUUCAUUACGAUUGUAAACCUCAAAUUAUCCACCGCGAUAUAAAGUCAAACAAUAUAUUGCUCGAUGAGGUGUAUCAGGCUCAUGUUGGAGACUUUGGCCUGGCUAAGUUGGUCGACUUUUCCUACUCCAAAUCCAUGUCUGCUGUGGCAGGUUCAUAUGGCUACAUUGCUCCUGAAUAUGCUUACACCAUGAAGGUGACUGAGAAAUGUGACAUAUAUAGCUUCGGGGUAGUUUUGCUGGAACUAGUUACUGGCAGGUCACCUGUGCAACCUUUGGAGCAAGGUGGUGAUCUAGUUACUUGGGUGAGAAGGUCAAUUCAAGCGUCAGUACCAACAUCUGAAUUAUUUGACAGAAGAUUAAAUCUGAGUGCACAAAAAACAAUCGACGAGAUGUCUCUUGUUCUCAAAAUUGCUCUGUUUUGCACCAGUACAUCCCCACUUAAUAGGCCAACAAUGAAAGAGGUCAUUGCGAUGUUGAUUGAUGCUAGGGAGUAUGUCAACAAUUCUCCAUUGACUCCGACAUCAGAAUCCCCACUAGAUGAAGAUGCUUCGUCCAAAGGUGAUCUAGAGUUUUAACAUUUGAGCUCGCACUUGUCUUAGCCUAAUUCCAUUGAGGCUAGAAGUAAUUAUAUAUAACCAUAAAGAAGCAAAGCUUUUGCUUUAUCUUCAACCAGAUGUCCCACCACUGUAAGUUCUUUUAUAAGAUAUUUCUGGGAACACUUUCUUUCCCAACAUCAAUAAACUUGAAUCUGUCAUGAUUUGUAAGUUUUUUAUGUCUUAAUUCAAUACAGCAAAAUGUGAUUGUAAGUUCGCUGUACAAUGCCUGCUGGUUUUCUGCAGCAUUAGGCACACAUUGCAGUAAAAUUCUAUUUUGUGCAUGUUUGGGAU
Neltuma alba is the source of this 4250-nucleotide RNA transcript. It is a transcript of the gene named leucine-rich repeat receptor-like serine/threonine-protein kinase At1g17230, with no coding region annotated. The transcript is spliced from 4 exons. The record is from RefSeq and is a predicted model, not a curated record. NCBI's taxonomy places the organism in Eukaryota, Viridiplantae, Streptophyta, Magnoliopsida, Fabales, Fabaceae.